This 497-nucleotide ribosomal RNA is filed under the name uncultured bacterium. RNAcentral describes it as "partial 16S ribosomal RNA". It matches the Rfam family "Bacterial small subunit ribosomal RNA", at positions 28 to 507 of the family's 1533-position model. The record is from RNAcentral.
GACGAACGCUGGCGGCGUGCCUAAUACAUGCAAGUAGAACGCUGAAGAGAGGAGCUUGCUCUUCUUGGAUGAGUUGCGAACGGGUGAGUAACGCGUAGGUAACCUGCCUUGUAGCGGGGGAUAACUAUUGGAAACGAUAGCUAAUACCGCAUAACAAUGGAUGACACAUGUCAUUUAUUUGAAAGGGGCAAUUGCUCCACUACAUGAUGGACCUGCGUUGUAUUAGCUAGUAGGUGGGGUAAUGGCUCACCUAGGCGACGAUACAUAGCCGACCUGAGAGGGUGAUAGGCCACACUGAGACUGAGACACGGCACAGACUACAACAGGAGGCAGCAGUAGGGAAUCUUGGGCAAUGGGGGCAAACCUGACCGAGAAACGCCGCAUGAGUGAAGAAGGUUGUCGGAUCGUAAAGCUCUGUUGUAAGUCAAGAACGGGUGUGAGAGUGGAAAGUUCAAACUGUGACGGUAGCGUACCAGAAAGGGACGGCUAACUACGUG